Molecule: long non-coding RNA, 529 nt
Organism: Prosopis cineraria
Lineage: Eukaryota; Viridiplantae; Streptophyta; Magnoliopsida; Fabales; Fabaceae
Exons: 3
Source: RefSeq, a predicted model, not a curated record
CGCGAAUUUUCUUCACUGCUCUUUUCCUCUUCCCUGUCACACUUUCUUCCUCCCAUCACCGUCAGUUCAUUCGCCAUUCUCCUCUCCAUUCAUUUUCGUCGGUGACAAUAGUCGCUCAUCUACUGUAUAUCCACAUCGCUAGCGUUUUUCUGUAGCUCCGUCCGCUGCUGGUCUGUCACACUCGUGGCUUCUGUUUCUCUUCUGCUCCUCUAUUUCAGAUCGACGAGGCUGUGUUUCUUCAUUGUUAGUACGAGUAUAUGGGAGAAGAUUGCGUCAACAAGAGUCCCAGGCUUCAACAAUGAACCGAGCUCCGUCGUGUAAGCUUAUUGAACCUUAACCUUUGAACCGUGCCUGGCGACUCUUUCUUGUAUAUUGUAGUUGCAAAUGCAGCAACAUUCCCACAUUCUGAUAUAGGAAUCCUGUAAUGUCAAUGUUCACAAAAAUUACUUCAAUUCCUCAAGCACAAUUUGAAUUAAGGCUUCAUUAUUCCUACCGCAAUGCUUCGUCUGUUUCUCGAUACAGGACGCAA